This 483-nucleotide ribosomal RNA is filed under the name uncultured bacterium. Its description in RNAcentral is "partial 16S ribosomal RNA". It matches the Rfam family "Bacterial small subunit ribosomal RNA", at positions 30 to 506 of the family's 1533-position model. The record is from RNAcentral.
AUUGAACGCUGGCGGCAGGCCUAACACAUGCAAGUCGAGCGGAUGAAGGGAGCUUGCUCCUGGAUUCAGCGGCGGACGGGUGAGUAAUGCCUAGGAAUCUGCCUGGUAGUGGGGGAUAACGUCCGGAAACGGGCGCUAAUACCGCAUACGUCCUGAGGGAGAAAGUGGGGGAUCUUCGGACCUCACGCUAUCAGAUGAGCCUAGGUCGGAUUAGCUAGUUGGUGGGGUAAAGGCCUACCAAGGCGACGAUCCGUAACUGGUCUGAGAGGAUGAUCAGUCACACUGGAACUGAGACACGGUCCAGACUCCUACGGGAGGCAGCAGUGGGGAAUAGUGGACAAUGGGCGAAAGCCUGAUCCAGCCAUGCCGCGUGUGUGAAGAAGGUCUUCGGAUUGUAAAGCACUUUAAGUUGGGAGGAAGGGCAGUAAGUUAAUACCUUGCUGUUUUGACGUUACCAACAGAAUAAGCACCGGCUAACUGCGU